ACCGGGCUGACACAAUUGGUUAGCGCGUGAGACUCUUAAUCUCAAGGUUGCGGGUUCAAGUCCCGUGUCCAGCU
Molecule: non-coding RNA, 74 nt
Organism: Zopfia rhizophila CBS 207.26
Lineage: Eukaryota; Fungi; Ascomycota; Dothideomycetes; Zopfiaceae
Source: the annotation of a GenBank genome assembly